Molecule: ribosomal RNA, 253 nt
Filed under: uncultured bacterium
Lineage: Bacteria
Description: partial 16S ribosomal RNA
Rfam family: Bacterial small subunit ribosomal RNA
Source: RNAcentral
UACGAAGGGGGCUAGCGUUGCUCGGAAUCACUGGGCGUAAAGCGCACGUAGGCGGAUCUUUAAGUCAGGGGUGAAAUCCUGGAGCUCAACUCCAGAACUGCCUUUGAUACUGGGGAUCUCGAGUCCGGGAGAGGUGAGUGGAACUGCGAGUGUAGAGGUGAAAUUCGUAGAUAUUCGCAAGAACACCAGUGGCGAAGGCGGCUCACUGGCCCGUUACUGACGCUGAGGCACGAAAGCGUGGGGAGCAAACAGG